Molecule: ribosomal RNA, 440 nt
Filed under: uncultured bacterium
Lineage: Bacteria
Description: partial 16S ribosomal RNA
Rfam family: Bacterial small subunit ribosomal RNA
Source: RNAcentral
CCUACGGGCGGCAGCAGUGGGGGAUAUUGCACAAUGGGGGAAACCCUGAUGCAGCGACGCCGCGUGAGUGAAGAAGUAUUUCGGUAUGUAAAGCUCUAUCAGCAGGGAAGAAAAUGACAGUACCUGACCAAGAAGCCCCGGCUAACUACGUGCCAGCAGCCGCGGUAAUACGUAGGGGGCAAGCGUUAUCCGGAUUUACUGGGUGUAAAGGGAGCGUAGACGGUGAUGUAAGUCUGGAGUGAAAGCCCGGGGCCCAACCCCGGGACUGCUUUGGAAACUGUGUAACUGGAGUGCAGGAGGGGCAGGCGGAAUGCCUGGUGUAGCGGUGAAAUGCGUAGAUAUCAGGAGGAACACCGGCUGCGAAGGCGGCCUGCUGGACUGAAACUGACGUUGAGGCUCGAAAGCGUGGGGAGCAAACAGGAUUAGAUACCCGUGUAGUC